This 1122-nucleotide long non-coding RNA is filed under the name Heterocephalus glaber (naked mole-rat). RNAcentral's name for it is "lncRNA (ENSHGLG00000040321.1)". The record is from RNAcentral. Lineage: Eukaryota; Metazoa; Chordata; Mammalia; Rodentia; Bathyergidae.
AGACUGAUGUAGCUCCCAAAGGAUAUCAAGUUGCAACUUCUGAAAACUGAGUAAUAAUAGAAACAUUGAUAACCCUCAAGUGAAGUCUCAUACCUUGCUGCUGUUCUCAGAAAUUAAUAGCUGCCCUGGAGCGUUUUGAACUUACAGAGUGUAUUGAGUGGGGUUUUCCUGUGAUGACUGCCUUCCUACUUCAGAACGUUUUAAUCAGAAACUCAUUUCCAUUCCACCCCAUCAUCACACACCUCUCAGCCAAGACUCCGUCUUCUGCUAGGAUGGAGGCCCCCUCCAGCAAGUUCUGAAGGUGGAGAGCAAUGAUGUGCUACAGCUGAAAGGUUCAGGGGCUCCUGCAGGUACAGGAAACAGGAGCCAUAACUGAGCAUUCAUCACGCACGAUUUGGUAAAUACUUAGCAUCCAUUACUACGAGCUACCAAUGGAGGUCUGUUUCGAGACUACCUGGGUUUUAUUGUCAGUCCCGGAAGAAGGGAAUCUGUGUCCAUACACACGCAUCCAGGCACUAGGCAAGACGGUGCCAGGGAAGGCCCGGAGCCUCGGCCCGAAGGACGGAGGUGGCGUUCGUGCAGGACCUGCGCUGGGCUGUUCUCUCCCAGCACAGCUGGCCUGGGGCCUCACAGAGCCGUGGGUGCUGACUUCCACAGAGAGCGGCGAGCCACCACCUCCACCGAGGCUGGAAUUCACCCCAAGGUGAUGCCACGGGGAACUGGUGACAGAAGGACUUGUAUUCAUGAUGGCGAAAGGAAAGUCAGCCAGAUUUUGCUACCAAACAAGGUAAAACUUCUGUAAGUUUUUUUAAAAUGCCAUAAAUAAAACUAAAAGGCAAAUGAAGGUAAUGGAAGACAUUUGCAAAAUAUUAACAAAAGAUUGAGGCCCGUGUUCCUCGGCAGAGUUCUUUCCAAUCGGUACAAACAGAACGGGGUCUUUGUUUCUCCUUCUUCUCCGGGUUGUGUGUGGAAGGCUUUGGGGAGAGUUCAGCACCUGCCACACUGGGCGGACACCUUGCCACGCGCAAGGCGAGGCUGCCCCAGCAAUCAAGUCGUGGUCACCUAGGAGAGGGGACAGCACCAGAGCUGUGAUGCGGGGUGUCCAGGCUGAGCACAGCCGGG